CCUACGGGUGGCAGCAGUGGGGAAUAUUGCACAAUGGGGGGAACCCUGAUGCAGCAACGCCGCGUGGGUGAAGAAGUACUCCGGUAUGUAAAGCCCUGUCAGCAGGGAAGAAAAUGACGGUACCUGACCAAGACGCCCCGGCUAACUCCGUGCCAGCAGCCGCGGUAAUACGGAGGGGGCAAGCGUUAUCCGGAUUUACUGGGUGUAAAGGGAGCGUAGACGGCUUGGCAAGCCAGAUGUGAAAGGCUGGGGCUCAACCUCAGGACUGCAUUUGGAACUGUCAUGCUAGAGUGUCGGAGAGGCAGGUGGAAUUCCUAGUGUAGCGGUGAAAUGCGUAGAUAUUAGGAGGAACACCAGUGGCGAAGGCGGCCUGCUGGACGAUGACUGACGUUGAGGCUCGAAAGCGUGGGGAGCAAACAGGAUUAGAUACCCUUGUAGAC
RNAcentral lists this ribosomal RNA (440 nucleotides) under uncultured bacterium. RNAcentral describes it as "partial 16S ribosomal RNA". It matches the Rfam family "Bacterial small subunit ribosomal RNA", at positions 338 to 795 of the family's 1533-position model. The record is from RNAcentral.